RNAcentral lists this ribosomal RNA (498 nucleotides) under uncultured bacterium. RNAcentral describes it as "partial 16S ribosomal RNA". It matches the Rfam family "Bacterial small subunit ribosomal RNA", at positions 28 to 507 of the family's 1533-position model. The record is from RNAcentral.
GACGAACGCUGGCGGCGUGCCUAAUACAUGCAAGUCGAACGAGAGCGCCCGGUGCUUGCACUGGUCAAUCUAGUGGCGAACGGGUGAGUAACACGUGGGUAACCUGCCCAUCAGAGGGGGAUAACAUCCGGAAACGGAUGCUAAAACCGCAUAGGUCUUCGAACCGCAUGGUUUGAAGAGGAAAAGAGGCGCAAGCUUCUGCUGAUGGAUGGACCCGCGGUGCAUUAGCUAGUUGGUGAGGUAACGGCUCACCAAGGCCGUGAUGCAUAGCCGACCUGAGAGGGUGAUCGGCCACAUUGGGACUGAGACGCGGCCCAAACUCCUACGGGAGGCAGCAGUAGGGAAUCUUCUGCAAUGGACGCAAGUCUGACGGAGCAACGCCGCGUGAGUGAAGAAGGUUUUCGGAUCGUAAAACUCUGUUGUUAGAGAAGAACAAGUGCUAGAGUAACUGUUAGCGCCUUGACGGUAUCUAACCAGAAAGCCACGGCUAACUACGUG